GGAAUGUGAUGGUUUCACUAUCGUCGCAAACUCAGAAUGUGAACCAUUUGUCAUGCGCAGCACAGCCAUGAAUUUUAUAUUGUGUCAUUGGAUUUUAGAGAUAAAUGUCAGGCAAUCAGAUAAAAAGGGGGUCAUGAAUCAAUACCUAAACAUAAAACCAGAGAAAUUACAAAAUGCUCUGUUUUUAUGUGAGGUAGAAAAGGAGACCAUUCUUCAGAGCAAAAUCAAAAGACUGGCUAACUCGGGUUAUAACAAAUGGCACCGAAUAAAAAAUGCUGUAAUC
Non-coding RNA from Pelobates cultripes (western spadefoot toad), 283 nucleotides. NCBI's taxonomy places the organism in Eukaryota, Metazoa, Chordata, Amphibia, Anura, Pelobatidae. The record is from the annotation of a GenBank genome assembly.